Long non-coding RNA from Cyprinodon tularosa, 191 nucleotides. RefSeq lists it as uncharacterized. Lineage: Eukaryota; Metazoa; Chordata; Actinopteri; Cyprinodontiformes; Cyprinodontidae. The record is from RefSeq and is a predicted model, not a curated record. The transcript has 2 exons.
AUCGGAAAUCCAAGUGACAGUCCGCUCCAUUACUCCUCCGAGUCCAACGUAUGUCUACCUGUCCGCCACAAAGACUGGAUUCAAUGAUUGACAAGAGCCCCCUCAAACACUUUCCAGCUCCGGUUCACCAGUUCUCUGAGUCCCAGAUCCAACCUCCGUUCACAUUGCUACAAAUAAACCUGUUAAACUUU